RNAcentral lists this ribosomal RNA (305 nucleotides) under uncultured bacterium. Its description in RNAcentral is "bacterial SSU rRNA". It matches the Rfam family "Bacterial small subunit ribosomal RNA", at positions 336 to 658 of the family's 1533-position model. The record is from RNAcentral.
CUCCUACGGGGGGCAGCAGUGGGGAAUAUUGCACAAUGGGGGAAACCCUGAUGCAGCGACGCCGCGUGAGUGAAGAAGCGCCUCGGCGCGUAAAGCUCUGUCAGCAGGAACGAUAAUGACGGUACCUGAAGAAGAAGCCCCGGCUAACUACGUGCCAGCAGCCGCGGUAAUACGUAGGGGGCAAGCGUUAUCCGGAUUUACUGGGUGUAAAGGGAGCGUAGACGGCGAUGCAAGCCAGAUGUGAAAGCCCGGGGCUCAGCCCCGGGACUGCAUUUGGAACUGUGUGGCUGGAGUGUCGGGGAGGG